AUUGAACGCUGGCGGCAUGCUUUACACAUGCAAGUCGAACGGUAACAGGGUGCUUGCACCGCUGACGAGUGGCGAACGGGUGAGUAAUGCGUCGGAACGUGCCGAGUAGUGGGGGAUAACGCAGCGAAAGUUGUGCUAAUACCGCAUACGUACUGAGGUAGAAAGUGGGGGACCUUCGGGCCUCACGCUAUUCGAGCGGCCGACGUCUGAUUAGCUAGUAGGUGAGGUAAAGGCUCACCUAGGCGACGAUCAGUAGCGGGUCUGAGAGGAUGAUCCGCCACACUGGGACUGGGACACGGCCCAGACUCCUACGGGAGGCAACAGUGGGGAAUUUUGGACAAUGGGCGAAAGCCUGAUCCAGCCAUGCCGCGUGUCUGAAGAAGGCCUUCGGGUUGUAAAGGACUUUUGUCAGGGAGGAAAUCCCUAGUGCUAAUAACACUGGGGGAUGACAGUACCUGAAGAAUAAGCACCGGCUAACUACGUGCCAGCCGCCGCGGUAA
Molecule: ribosomal RNA, 500 nt
Filed under: uncultured bacterium
Lineage: Bacteria
Description: partial 16S ribosomal RNA
Rfam family: Bacterial small subunit ribosomal RNA
Source: RNAcentral